UCGUCAGAAGAAAGGACCGGACUGGGGACUCCAGGGAGAGGGAGCAGGCGAGUGGGCGGUCAGAUUUUGGAGGCUGGAGACAGAGGCACAGAUAAAUGAAGAGGAGUUAUGUUUCCUAUGAACAAGAUUUCAGUGCUGAAGUUAAGAGAUUCACAUCUAAACAAAUAUGCCUUGAAACUUUCAUAAUCACGGCCUUGGUGUUUGGAUGAACGGGACUGAAGCUGAUCAACAGCAAUAGAAGAAAAAUGGCUUGAUAAGCAAAUCCACAGCCUGCACUGCACCUGAUUGUAUUUCCACCCAACUUUCCAGCUAUGGCUACCGAUCCGUUACCUGCCCAUUUUGCACCACUGCCGUUCAUCAGUUUCACCCUGUAUUAAAUUUGCACUUAAUCAAAUUUUUACACUUAAUUAAAUUCAUUCAGAUUUAGAUUCUAGCACGGAUGAAAUAGGUUGUCCAAGUUUAAUAACAGCAAGAUUAAGAUAAAGCAAUCCCUUCGGCUAUAUGACAGUGAUGUGGCCAACUGAAGCCAUGCCAAGGUGUGAUUACAUUUCAUGAUUCAGGUUAUUUUCUGAAAUGAAUGUUAACCUCUAACAGUUUAAUAUUUGCAUUUAUUCUUGUGUCCUAAUAGUCCUGGGUUUUCAUGAUAUACACUGUUAAAUGUUUCUCAGCAUUUUCCACUCUGAACCUAUAGUUUCUAAUAAUACAACAGUUCCUUUCAAUAAUAGAUUUUGGGAGAAAUACAAAAAGCUAUCGUUAAAGGUA
Molecule: long non-coding RNA, 762 nt
Organism: Carcharodon carcharias (great white shark)
Lineage: Eukaryota; Metazoa; Chordata; Chondrichthyes; Lamniformes; Lamnidae
Exons: 3
Source: RefSeq, a predicted model, not a curated record